GGAAGGAUCAUUACCGAGUGCGGGCCCUCGCGGCCCAACCUCCCACCCUUGUCUCUAUACACCUGUUGCUUUGGCGGGCCCACCGGGGCCACCUGGUCGCCGGGGGACGCACGUCCCCGGGCCCGCGCCCGCCGAAGCGCUCUGUGAACCCUGAUGAAGAUGGGCUGUCUGAGUAUUAUGAAAAUUGUCAAAACUUUCAACAAUGGAUCUCUUGGUUCCGGCAUCGAUGAAGAACGCAGCGAAAUGCGAUAAGUAAUGUGAAUUGCAGAAUUCCGUGAAUCAUCGAAUCUUUGAACGCACAUUGCGCCCCCUGGCAUUCCGGGGGGCAUGCCUGUCCGAGCGUCAUUUCUGCCCUCAAGCACGGCUUGUGUGUUGGGUGUGGUCCCCCCGGGGACCUGCCCGAAAGGCAGCGGCGACGUCCGUCUGGUCCUCGAGCGUAUGGGGCUUUGUCACUCGCUCGGGAAGGACCUGCGGGGGUUGGUCACCACCAUAUUUUACCACGGUUGACCUCGGAUCAGGUAGGAGUUACCCGCUGAACUUAAGCAUAUCAAUAAGCGGAGGAAAAGAAACCAACCGGGAUUGCCUCAGUAACGGCGAGUGAAGCGGCAAGAGCUCAAAUUUGAAAUCUGGCCCCUUUGGGGUCCGAGUUGUAAUUUGCAGAGGAUGCUUCGGGUGCGGUCCCCGUCUAAGUGCCCUGGAACGGGCCGUCAUAGAGGGUGAGAAUCCCGUCUGGGAUGGGCGGCCGCGCCCGUGUGAAGCUCCUUCGACGAGUCGAGUUGUUUGGGAAUGCAGCUCUAAGCGGGUGGUAAAUUUCAUCUAAAGCUAAAUACUGGCCGGAGACCGAUAGCGCACAAGUAGAGUGAUCGAAAGAUGAAAAGCACUUUGAAAAGAGAGUUAAACAGCACGUGAAAUUGUUGAAAGGGAAGCGUUGUCCACCAGACUCGCCCGGGGGGGUUCAGCCGGCACGUGUGCCGGUGUACUCCUCUCCGGGCGGGCCAGCAUCGGUUUGGGCGGCUGGUGAAAGGCCCCGGGAAUGUAACACCCUCCGGGGUGCCUUAUAGCCCGGGGUGCCAUACAGCCAGCCUGGACCGAGGCCCGCGCUUCGGCGAGGAUGCUGGCGUAAUGGUGGUCAACGGCCCGUCUUGAAACACGGACCAAGGAGUCUAACAUCUAUGCGAGUGUUCGGGUGUCAAACCCGUCCGCGCAGUGAAAGCGAACGGAGGUGGGAGCCUUUCGGGGCGCACCAUCGACCGAUCCUGAUGUCUUCGGAUGGAUUUGAGUAAGAGCAUAGCUGUUGGGACCCGAAAGAUGGUGAACUAUGCCUGAAUAGGGCGAAGCCAGAGGAAACUCUGGUGGAGGCUCGCAGCGGUUCUGACGUGCAAAUCGAUCGUCAAAUUUGGGUAUAGGGGCGAAAGACUAAUCGAACCAUCUGGUAGCUGGUUCCUGC
Molecule: unclassified non-coding RNA, 1447 nt
Filed under: uncultured fungus
Lineage: Eukaryota; Fungi
Description: sequence contains 18S rRNA gene, ITS1, 5.8S rRNA gene, ITS2, 28S rRNA gene
Rfam family: Eukaryotic large subunit ribosomal RNA (bases 505-1447)
Source: RNAcentral